This 419-nucleotide ribosomal RNA is filed under the name uncultured delta proteobacterium. Its description in RNAcentral is "bacterial SSU rRNA". It matches the Rfam family "Bacterial small subunit ribosomal RNA", at positions 9 to 416 of the family's 1533-position model. Lineage: Bacteria; Deltaproteobacteria. The record is from RNAcentral.
GAGUUUGAUCGUGGCUCAGAGCGAACGUUAGCGGCGCGCCUAACACAUGCAAGUCGAGCGCGAAAGGGAGCAAUCCUGAGUAAAGCGGCGCACGGGUGCGUAACACGUAGGUAACCUGCCCUAUGGAGGGGGAUAACGUUCCGAAAGGAGCGCUAAUACCGCAUACAGCGUCUUGGGGUAACCUGAGAUGGCAAAGGUUGGGAUUCGCAAGAACCAAUCGCCAUGGGAGGGGCCUGCGGCCCAUCAGCUAGUUGGUAAGGUAAUGGCUUACCAAGGCGAAGACGGGUAGCUGGUCUGAGAGGAUGAUCAGCCACACUGGUACUGGAACACGGACCAGACUCCUACGGGAGGCAGCAGUGGGGAAUCUUGGUCAAUGGGCGCAAGCCUGAACCAGCGACGCCGCGUGAGUGAUGAAGGCC